RNAcentral lists this long non-coding RNA (587 nucleotides) under Prunus persica (peach). Its description in RNAcentral is "long non-coding RNA (PPER_LNC001146)". Lineage: Eukaryota; Viridiplantae; Streptophyta; Magnoliopsida; Rosales; Rosaceae. The record is from RNAcentral.
UUAUUUCUUAUUUCAUGCGUGAUAGUUGACUCAAGCUCAUAAGCAAGUCUUGUUCUUACUCAUCUAGAUGUUCGUUGCCAAUUAUCAUCAUCAUCAUAUUCUACAUCUAGAUUCUCAUACUCAUCCUCAACAAUCAUGUUGUGCAAUAUUAUACACGUCAUCAUGAUUGAAUGAAGUCGUUCUUUAAGCCGCAUAUGUGCAGGUCCCCUAACAAUUGCCCAUUGAGCCUAAAGUAUUCUGAAGGCUCUUUCGACAUCCUUCCUAUAAGUAUCUUGUUUUUGGGCAAAUAGUAUUGUUUUUGGAGUAUCCGGUUGGGAAAUUGUCUUAACUAAUGUAGCCUAACGAGGGGAUACCAUCAGUAAAGUAAUAACCCAGAUUGUAUUCAUUUUCAUUAAUAACAUAUUGGAUAUGGGGAGACGCUCCAUUGACUACAUCAUUGAACAACGAGGAACGAGUUAGGACGUUGAUAUAGUUGUUUGAUUCGGCGGCUCCAAAAAAGGCAUGCCAUAUCCAAGUGUCAUACGAGGCCACCGCCUUUAGAACGAUAGUUGGCUUAUGCUUGUAGCCAGUAAACUGGCUUACCCAAG